GUCGAGCGGUAGCACAGGGGAGCUUGCUCCCUGGGUGACGAGCGGCGGACGGGUGAGUAAUGUCUGGGAAACUGCCUGAUGGAGGGGGAUAACUACUGGAAACGGUAGCUAAUACCGCAUAACGUCGCAAGACCAAAGAGGGGGACCUUCGGGCCUCUUGCCAUCAGAUGUGCCCAGAUGAGAUUAGCUAGUAGGUGGGGUAAUGGCUCACCUAGGCGACGAUCCCUAGCUGGUCUGAGAGGAUGACCAGCCACACUGGAACUGAGACACGGUCCAGACUCCUACGGGAGGCAGCAGUGGGGAAUAUUGCACAAUGGGCGCAAGCCUGAUGCAGCCAUGCCGCGUGUGUGAAGAAGGCCUUCGGGUUGUAAAGCACUUUCAGCGAGGAGGAAGGUGGUGAGCUUAAUACGCUCAUCAAUUGACGUUACUCGCAGAAGAAGCACCGGCUAACUCCGUGCCAGCAGCCGCGGUAAUACGGAGGGUGCAAGCGUUAAUCGGAAUUACUGGGCGUAAAGCGCACGCAGGCGGUUUGUUAAGUCAGAUGUGAAAUCCCCGGGCUCAACCUGGGAACUGCAUUUGAAACUGGCAAGCUAGAGUCUCGUAGAGGGGGGUAGAAUUCCAGGUGUAGCGGUGAAAUGCGUAGAGAUCUGGAGGAAUACCGGUGGCGAAGGCGG
This 674-nucleotide ribosomal RNA is filed under the name uncultured Enterobacterales bacterium. RNAcentral's name for it is "bacterial SSU rRNA". It matches the Rfam family "Bacterial small subunit ribosomal RNA", at positions 61 to 724 of the family's 1533-position model. The record is from RNAcentral. Lineage: Bacteria; Pseudomonadati; Pseudomonadota; Gammaproteobacteria; Enterobacterales.